RNAcentral lists this long non-coding RNA (946 nucleotides) under Neogobius melanostomus (round goby). RNAcentral's name for it is "lncRNA (ENSNMLG00000001427.1)". Lineage: Eukaryota; Metazoa; Chordata; Actinopteri; Gobiiformes; Gobiidae. The record is from RNAcentral.
AACUGCUCUAAUGGUGCGUUGUGAAUCUCCUCUUUUAUUGCAGAAGAAUCCUCGGCUCCUAAAAACCUGUCAUCAGUUCGUCAGAGCGCACUCAGAGUGGGGAAAACGGCGGCGCAGGAUCCAGCUGGUGUCCAGAGACGACGCUCUGUCCCUGCCUCCGCCGCCGGAGCUCGGCUACAGCGUCACAGCCCAGGACCUGGACGAAGAGAAACGCUCUGCUCUCGACAAGAUCCACAAGCUCCUGGAGACGCCCGCUCCUGAGUCGACCUCCUCCAGCGGCGCCGUCAGCUCGUCUCCGGCCGCGCCCCUGAGCCUCGGACUGACCUUCACCACGGGGACAGUCGGCGUGAGCUCUUCGACUGUGACGCCCAGCUCUUCGGCCGGCGCUCCCAGCACCGCGGCCGGGACAGUAGAGGGCCUUCUGGGGCCUUGGUCGGAACGGGAGGCGGCGUUCAGGGCGGAGCUUCAGUGGCGCCGAGUGUCAGCGUCGCUCCUUCAGUUCAGCCUAACCUCCUCCUGGAGUCUCUGAAGAGGAAGAGUCUGUCUCUGGUCACCGCUGCAGGGACGGCCUCCUCGGCUCCGGUCCAGCCCGGUCUGUCCCUGCAGACGUCUGUCCCCCCAGCCUCUGCCUCUUCAGCGCCUCCUUCUACAGCCUCCUCCACGCAGCCUCCUGCUCUUGCCCCGGGCCUGUUCAGCCUCCCCACAGUUACCGCCCCUCCAGCGCCGCCCCCUCCAGCGCCGUCCCGCCCUCAGGCUUCAAACCCAUGUUCAACAUCCCCACCUCCUCCAGCGCCGCAGAACCCAAACCUCAGCAGAACUUUAAGCCCAUUUUGGUGCUGCUCCCGGCGCCUCCUCCACAUCUACCGCCUCCUCCGCCUCGUUGUUCGGCGCCUCGGCUUCGCUCUCCCCCCCAGCACGGUGCCCGCCCCCGUGUCUGGCGCCGCGC